Non-coding RNA from Pelobates cultripes (western spadefoot toad), 111 nucleotides. The record is from the annotation of a GenBank genome assembly. Lineage: Eukaryota; Metazoa; Chordata; Amphibia; Anura; Pelobatidae.
UGUGUAUGUGUGUGUCUCUGUAUGUAUGUGUGGGUCUCUGUAUGUAUGUGUCUGUAUCAUACCGACAUACAUACAGAGACACACAUACAUACAGAGCCACAUACACACACA